This 793-nucleotide ribosomal RNA is filed under the name uncultured archaeon. RNAcentral's name for it is "bacterial SSU rRNA". It matches the Rfam family "Archaeal small subunit ribosomal RNA", at positions 85 to 879 of the family's 1478-position model. The record is from RNAcentral.
ACUGCUCAGUAACACGUAGUUAACCUAACCUAUGGAUGGGGAUAACCUCGGGAAACUGAGAAUAAUCCCCGAUAGACCACAAUGCCUGGAAUGGUUUGUGGUUGAAAUGAUUUAUCGCCGUAGGAUGGGACUGCGGCCUAUCAGCUAGUUGGUGAGGUAAUGGCCCACCAAGGCUAUAACAGGUACGGGCUCUGAGAGGAGGGGCCCGGAGAUGGGUACUGAGACACGGACCCAGGCCCUAUGGGGCGCAGCAGGCGAGAAACCUUUGCAAUGUGCGAAAGCACGACAAGGUUAAUCCGAGUGUCUUCUGCUAAAGAAGUCUUUUGUUAGUCAUAGAACCACUGAUGAAUAAGGGGUGGGCAAGUUCUGGUGUCAGCCGCCGCGGUAAAACCAGCACCUCGAGUGGUCAGGAGGUUUAUUGGGCCUAAAGCAUCCGUAGCCGGUUGUUUAAGUUUUCGGUUAAAUCUAUGCGCUUAACGUAUAGGCUGCCGAAAAUACUGGACAGCUAGGGAGUGGGGGAGGUACACGGUACUCAAUAGGAAGGGGUAAAAUCCUUUGAUCUGUUGAUGACCACCUGUGGCGAAGGCGGUGUACCAGAACACGUUCGACGGUGAGGGAUGAAAGCUGGGGGAGCAAACCGGAUUAGAUACCCGGGUAGUCCCAGCUGUAAACGAUGCAAACUCGGUGAUGCAUUGGCUUGUGGCCAAUGCAGUGCCGCAGGGAAGCCGUUAAGUUUGCCGCCUGGGAAGUACGUACGCAAGUAUGAAACUUAAAGGAAUUGGCGGGGGAGCAC